Non-coding RNA from Cinara cedri, 335 nucleotides. Lineage: Eukaryota; Metazoa; Arthropoda; Insecta; Hemiptera; Aphididae. The record is from the annotation of a GenBank genome assembly.
AAAAUUAUAAACGUUGAGGCCAAUCUUCGAUAAUUUCACGGAGUCGGCUAUCUUAUUUUAUUAUACAUCUUUUUGAGUGCAAUAGGUACCUUGUCUACAAUAGGAGUUUUAGAUUAUAGCCAAACAAAUAUACAAUAUUUCUAUGAAUUGAUUAAUCAUACAUGUUCGACAAUACUAUUUGCGGUAAAUCUUAAAGGAAACACGAUCCAUGAAAUAUUUUCAAUAGAAGGCGUAAAGAGUUUUAUAUUGGUGAUAGAUUUCAUUAUUUUUAAGGAAUUGACAAAGUGAUAUGUUUUUUUUUUUGUUUUAUGUUACAACGGGUGUUUAUGUUGGUU